Molecule: long non-coding RNA, 443 nt
Organism: Mytilus trossulus (common blue mussel)
Lineage: Eukaryota; Metazoa; Mollusca; Bivalvia; Mytilida; Mytilidae
Exons: 3
Source: RefSeq, a predicted model, not a curated record
CUUAUUGGGUCUUUAGUUUAAUUAUUUCACUCUUGCAAAGUAUUUUUACUAUAGGAUAGUUAUCCUUUAUGACUUGAUUUAGUAUAUAAUUUACGUAUUGAGUAAUGUUACUCAUACAUAUUCAUGGGGGUUGAAAUUGAACUCUUGUUUUGAUUGGUUCUUAGUUAUUGGCGGUUAAAUUGAGUUUUCCUUUGUGUACCUUGGGUAGAAUUCACCUGGACACUGGUCAGUGAAAGACGUCCAUUAUUUACUCAGACUAUUAUAGCAGAAACCCAUAUUUACAGAUUGUGUAUUUAUUAUAUUCAGCUUGACAGUUUUCUAGACAUGACUAGACUCUGAUGUAGAUUACUUCUUUGUACUUUGUGCCAAGUUCCUUAUUUACUAGAGAACUCACUCCACAAGUGAGUUUUUAUUCUCUGGUAAUAAAACCAUCCGAACCUUAG